Molecule: ribosomal RNA, 16 nt
Filed under: Xylaria grammica
Lineage: Eukaryota; Fungi; Ascomycota; Sordariomycetes; Xylariales; Xylariaceae
Description: partial 18S ribosomal RNA
Source: RNAcentral
CGGAGGGAUCAUUAAA